ACGCGAGAGGACAAAACGACGUCGCGUUCUUCACUUCUAUCCAUACCCAUUUUCCAGUUUGUUGUUCAUCCCUCAAAACGACCAUACCCUAUCGUUUCGUGUUCGCUGCUCUUCCCCUCAAAUCGAUUUUGCUUCUGUUGUCCUCCUGCCCCAAAUCGAUUUCUGAGUUUAUUCACCUAAUGCCCAAAUUAAUUUCAUUUUCUAUUGUAUUCACACCCAAAUCGAUUUGCCUCCAAACCCUUUGAUUUCGUCGUUCACGCCCAAAAUUAUGAUAGAAACGAAAACCUAGCUUUGAGAGUCGUUUGCUUGCUUCGAUUUUGAGAAGUUGAGGAAGAAACUAAAUCUUGAGUUUGAUUUUGCCAGUAAGGCACGACUCAUCUGCGACGGUUGCCUCAAUUUAUUCUCACGGUAUCCGGAGUUGUUCAUGGCCCUGUCAGAGGAGACAUAUCUGGUUGUGCAAGGAUAAUUGGGACUAUGUUAAUGACGUUAUAGUCGGGGGAAUUAAUGAAGGGGGUCUAGUUGCAGCGGACAUUUUUAUGCUUCAGCUGAGUUUAGUCCACUUGUGUAUGUGAUAGUGUAACAGCAGCAUGACCAUUUAGUGCAAGGCUUGAGGACAGUUAAGAUGCGCUGAAAGUGCAAGUAUAGUUCUUUGCAUCUUGAAGUCAAGGUCGUAGAAGCCGGCAUACGUGUAGUUGGUAAAAUAAGGAUAAACCAACAUGAGUAUAAUUUUCAUACUUCUCCUUGUAUCUGAGUUGUAUUUUGUAACAAAUAUAUAAUAUGGUACACAUUACUUUAAUGUUUUAUUGUAUUUGAAUUAUAAGUGAUAUUCAUUAUAGCUAGAGUUCUAUUUUCUUUUCGA
Medicago truncatula (barrel medic) is the source of this 859-nucleotide long non-coding RNA. RefSeq lists it as uncharacterized. The transcript has 3 exons. The record is from RefSeq and is a predicted model, not a curated record. Lineage: Eukaryota; Viridiplantae; Streptophyta; Magnoliopsida; Fabales; Fabaceae.